GGAGGUCCAGCCCUGCCAGCACAGGCAUCUGAGACUCUUCCAGCCUUUGAGCUCCACAGCCUGGCAGAGAACUGAUGGUAUCUAGACUUGGAGACUCCCAUCACCCUCGCCAGGCCUAGGGUAAUGCUCCAGGUAGUGGCUGUUUUACAGGCACCUGCAGUUCCUGGGGAAAGAGUUCUGCUACUGUAUCAUGGAAUCUGGCCUGGUAGAAACUAAUAUCGAAUCACUCCACAUGUUUGUCUGAAGAACUUUGUCAAUACAACCAGAGCACAUCUCCAUUCCAUUCUUUCUGGCAGUCUCCACUCUUCCCAUGGCUAGCCCUGUUCAUAGGGCCAGUGUUCAGCUUGACCUGGCUUACUGCAUCGGCAGAGAAACCUAUUAUUGCACUACAGAAAACCUAUUAGAGACUCCGUUAAAAUUUGAUCCCUCCCCUCCAUUUUUCACUUCCAGGUCACGUCAGGAAAUACCAUGCUAGGAGUGGAGAAGUCCUUCCCUAGAAGUUUUUGCCCCUGAGUAAAAUAAUUUGUAUCUCCUGAGAAGGUCAACUCUCACAGAUCCCACAACUAAAUCUAUGUGUUAGAAUAGCAACAAAGGCCCAUUAAGGGCAAACCCUUUUUUGUCAAGAGAAGAGAAUCUCUGGCCUGGGUGGAUAACAUUCUGGCUGGACAGCCAAGCACCUGGCCAAUUGACCGACCAUCCCUAAGAAGACAGGUUCACCUUAAGCCAUGCUACAGGGAUAAAUGGGAUGUCCUUUUAAUGAUAGUGACCAUUUCUUCCCAGAAUUCCUGCUCCUUAUGGCUGUAGCUCACA
Molecule: long non-coding RNA, 810 nt
Organism: Peromyscus maniculatus bairdii (prairie deer mouse)
Lineage: Eukaryota; Metazoa; Chordata; Mammalia; Rodentia; Cricetidae
Source: RefSeq, a predicted model, not a curated record